RNAcentral lists this ribosomal RNA (425 nucleotides) under uncultured bacterium. RNAcentral's name for it is "bacterial SSU rRNA". It matches the Rfam family "Bacterial small subunit ribosomal RNA", at positions 356 to 773 of the family's 1533-position model. The record is from RNAcentral.
GGGGAAUAUUGGACAAUGGGCGCAAGCCUGAUCCAGCAAUGCCGCGUGUGUGAUGAAGGCCUGCGGGUUGUAAAGCACUUUCAGUGGGGAAGAACGGAUACGGGCCAAUACCCCGCAUCACUGACGUUACCCACAGAAGAAGCACCGGCUAACUCCGUGCCAGCAGCCGCGGUAAUACGGAGGGUGCAAGCGUUAAUCGGAAUCACUGGGCGUAAAGCGCACGUAGGCGGCCCGCUAAGUCAGAUGUGAAACCCCUGGGCUCAACCUGGGAAUGGCAUUUGAUACUGGCAAGCCCGAGUCCGAGAGAGGGGGGUGGAAUUCCAGGUGUAGCGGUGAAAUGCGUAGAUAUCUGGAGGAACACCGGUGGCGAAGGCGGCCCCCUGGCUCGUGACUGACGCUGAGGUGCGAAAGCGUGGGUAGCAAAC